Molecule: ribosomal RNA, 459 nt
Filed under: uncultured bacterium
Lineage: Bacteria
Description: partial 16S ribosomal RNA
Rfam family: Bacterial small subunit ribosomal RNA
Source: RNAcentral
CCUACGGGAGGCAGCAGUGAGGAAUAUUGGUCAAUGGCCGCAGGGCUGAACCAGCCAAGUCGCGUGAGGGAUGACGGUCCUAUGGAUUGUAAACCUCUUUUGUCAGGGAGCAAAGGGCGCCACGUGUGGCGCUUUGCGAGUACCUGAAGAAAAAGCAUCGGCUAACUCCGUGCCAGCCGCCGCGGUAAUACGGAGGAUGCGAGCGUUAUCCGGAUUUAUUGGGUUUAAAGGGUGCGCAGCGGGAAUGUCAAGUCAGUGGUAAAAUUUCGGGGCUCAACCCCGUCGUGCCGUUGAUACUGGCGUUCUUGAGUGAGCGAGAAGUAUGCGGAAUGCGUGGUGUAGCGGUGAAAUGCAUAGAUAUCACGCAGAACUCCGAUUGCGAAGGCAGCAUACCGGCGCUCAACUGACGCUGAUGCACGAAAGCGUGGGUAUCGAACAGGAUUAGAUACCCGAGUAGUC